RNAcentral lists this ribosomal RNA (474 nucleotides) under uncultured bacterium. Its description in RNAcentral is "bacterial SSU rRNA". It matches the Rfam family "Bacterial small subunit ribosomal RNA", at positions 33 to 507 of the family's 1533-position model. The record is from RNAcentral.
GACGACGCUGGCGGCGUGCCUAACACAUGCAAGUCGAGCGGGGUUGAGGCGAGAGGUAACUCGAACUUCUACCUAGCGGCGGACGGGUGAGUAACGCGUGGGCAACCUGCCUCAAGGUUUGGGAUAACAGCCCGAAAGGGCUGCUAAUACCGGAUAUGCCUAUGGCCUCGCAUGGGGCUAUGAGCAAAGGGGAAACCCGCCUUGAGAUGGGCCCGCGUCCCAUCAGCUAGUUGGUGAGGUAACAGCUCACCAAGGCGACGACGGGUAGCCGGCCUGAGAGGGUGACCGGCCACACUGGGACUGAGACACGGCCCAGACUCCUACGGGGGGCAGCAGUGGGGGAUCUUGCACAAUGGGCGAAAGCCUGAUGCAGCGACGCCGCGUGAGCGAAGAAGGCCUUCGGGUUGUAAAGCUCUGUCUGGAGGGACGAAGGAAGUGACGGUACCUCCGGAGGAAGCCACGGCUAACUACGUG